This 65-nucleotide transfer RNA is filed under the name Plakobranchus cf. ocellatus HW-2015. RNAcentral describes it as "tRNA-Asp". It matches the Rfam family "tRNA". Rfam says of the family: Transfer RNA (tRNA) molecules are approximately 80 nucleotides in length. Their secondary structure includes four short double-helical elements and three loops (D, anti-codon, and T loops). Lineage: Eukaryota; Metazoa; Mollusca; Gastropoda; Plakobranchidae. The record is from RNAcentral.
ACUAAUCUAGUUUAUAUAAAAUAUUAGCUUGUCAAGUUAAAGAUACAGUUUGUUUGUGAUUGGUA